CAAAAAGAUGUUUAAUUAGAAUAUUAACAUUGGAAGUUAAGGUUGAGUAUUACUUACUUUUUGA
This 64-nucleotide transfer RNA is filed under the name Heterololigo bleekeri (Bleeker's squid). RNAcentral describes it as "tRNA-Pro". The record is from RNAcentral. Lineage: Eukaryota; Metazoa; Mollusca; Cephalopoda; Myopsida; Loliginidae.